GAUUUGUGUUUCUCUCUCUCCACUCCCAACUCCCAAGGAGGCGGAGAAUAAAAGCUAUACACACUUCUGUGAUGGCAAGCAGGUUACAGAGCAAACGGACGUGUUUUGUCACAAAGAGCAAGAAUUCCGCUCCAGGAGAGCACUUCAGACUUUGUCCUUGGAAGUCGACCCCUCCUCCCAGCCCCGGCGGCUGGCGACCGGUGAUCUGGUUUCUGUCCCCGUGGUUUGCCUCCUCUGGAAUGUCGUGUCGUGGAAUCGUCCUUCUGGACCCUUUGAUUCUGGCCUCUUCCCUCCGCAGUGCGUGUGAGAUGCGUCCUGGUGCUGUGCCCAGCAGUGGUUUCCCUUUGAUCGAUGAGGCUGUUCCGGUGUGUGGAUGUCUGUUUAUCCAUCUGCUUGUUGAAAGACAUUUGGACCGUUUCCCACUUUCUCUGAUCAUGAAUAAAGCUACUCUAAACACCAGCGAA
RNAcentral lists this long non-coding RNA (464 nucleotides) under Equus caballus (horse). RNAcentral describes it as "lncRNA (ENSECAG00000049150.1)". Lineage: Eukaryota; Metazoa; Chordata; Mammalia; Perissodactyla; Equidae. The record is from RNAcentral.